UUUUUUUUAAUAAUGUUAAAUCAUAUUUUUUUAAUUUAUUAUUUCAAAACAAAUAUAUUUCUUUUUGUAGCUAGCAAAUAAUUUUUGAUUUUUUGUUUGUUUAUGAUAUGUUACAAUAAUUUAAAAACAAAAUUAAGGAGAGAAAACUUUAUUGGGUUCAUCCUUAAGAAACCAUUCGAACAGAAGAUGACAAUAAUGUUGAAAACUGUGCAAUGAAAUAUUGAUUGAUUAGGGUACCGUUUUAGAUAAUAAUAAUAAAAGAAAAGGC
This 268-nucleotide long non-coding RNA is filed under the name Lathyrus oleraceus (garden pea). Its description in RNAcentral is "Pisum sativum (pea) long non-coding RNA (PSAT_LNC000675)". Lineage: Eukaryota; Viridiplantae; Streptophyta; Magnoliopsida; Fabales; Fabaceae. The record is from RNAcentral.